This 75-nucleotide transfer RNA is filed under the name Candidatus Woesearchaeota archaeon. RNAcentral's name for it is "tRNA-Ala". It matches the Rfam family "tRNA". From Rfam's summary of the family: Transfer RNA (tRNA) molecules are approximately 80 nucleotides in length. RNAcentral also lists the same sequence under 1 other name. The record is from RNAcentral. Lineage: Archaea; Nanobdellati; Candidatus Woesearchaeota.
GGGCUCGUAGCUCAGUCUGGCAUGAGCGCUGGCUUUGCAAGCCAGAAGCCGCGGGUUCAAAUCCCGCCGAGUCCA